Molecule: RNA transcript, 1766 nt
Organism: Piliocolobus tephrosceles (Ugandan red Colobus)
Lineage: Eukaryota; Metazoa; Chordata; Mammalia; Primates; Cercopithecidae
Gene name: 60S ribosomal protein L36 pseudogene
Exons: 1
Source: RefSeq, a predicted model, not a curated record
UUUCAGUAGAGACGGGGUUUCGCCAUGUUGGCCAGGUUGGUCUUGAACUCCUGACCUCAGAUCCACCCACCUCGGCCUCCCAAAGUGCUGGGUAUACAGGCAUGAGCCACCGUGCCCAGUCCUCAUUGGUUCUUUUAAACUCUACUGCACUUAAAUAUAUAAUUCUCCUGAACACUACUUUUGACCUUUUUUUAGCUUUAUGUGCAUUUCUUUUCUCCUAGACUUAGCAGCAGAGACCCUAUCUCCUUUUUAAGAAAUAUUAUCGAGCUUCUACUAUACGUCAAGAACAGUAGUAGGCAGUGUAGGGUCAAAAGGAUGGUUAAGAGAAUAUUCCUGACUUCCAAGGGCCCAGGGAGAUUAUACAAUAUAAUAAGAUUAUAGGUAUUAUAGAGAUUCUUAUAAUGUUGAGGAGAACAAGAUGUGUUCUUCCUGGGUAGUUGGAAAGGUUUCAAAAAGAUCCUAUUUGAGCUAGACGUUGAUUUGAGCAGUUCAGACAAGGAUAGAUUUUUAUUCACCUUUGUAUCACCCAAGGUAAGUGCUGAGAUAACAGUAAGAGCAUGAUUUUGGAAAUCGACCUGAUUUUAAAUUCUGGCUCUGCCAGUUACUUGACAGCAAUCCUAGAACCUGUUGUUUAGCAUCUUUGAGCCUUAAAAAAUGGUGGUAACAUCAGCUGCAUAAAAUUGUUAUAAAGAUUGAAUGAGGAAGAGUAUAUUAUAAAGCAUUUCAAUCAGUGCUUGGCACACACAAUUCAUCAAAUUCGACAUGCUAUUCAUUGUAAGAUGCAUCAUUUUACUACUAAAAAGGAAAAAAUAAUUAAACCAUGACACACCAUUGAUUGUAAGAUGAAUCCCAUUCAGAGAUGUUAAAAUAUGAACAAAUAAGAAAAUGUGAAAUUAUUAAUAAGCAGUUAAGUUAUUCCUGUGUAAAUGUUUGCAGCCAUGGACUGCUAGGAUACACUUCUAGGGUAAUGAUGUCAUGACACUAUGCCCCUUGUUUAAUAACAGUGCUAGACACAAGUUCAGAUAACAUCUUUUCUAGAUUCAACUAGUUUUCUUUGUCAUAUUCCCAAAUUCUCUAAGCUCUCAGUUGUACUAUCAAAUUUUUAGAUUUAAAAGUUUUCCCCAUGAGGACCGCUCUCCCAAAGCUCAUGACCUCCUCCGGUCUCUAGUACAAUAGCAAGACUUUUGUCGUGGGACUUAAUUUUACUAUUCUCUUAAACCUAUAUAUUUUUUCUAGUUUAUAAUUGAUGUUGUGGUACAUCUUCAAGUAACUUUCUGUGAAAGGUGAAUGGGAGCUAAGCCUGUUCUUACGUUAUUAGUAGAAUUAGUAAUAAUAAUAUUGUUGUGAGAGUUCCGCGCGGCGCCAGCCCUUCCGCCACGGCCGCCACUGGAGAGCAGUAGCCAUGGCUCUACGCUACCCUAUGGCCGUGGGCCUCAACGAGGGCCACCAGGUGACCAAGAACGUGCAAUCCCAGGCACAGCCGCCGCCGCGGGCGUCUGACGAAACACACCAAGUUCGUGCGGGACGUGAUUCGGGAGGUGUGUGGCUUUGCCCCGUACGAGCGGCGCGCCAUGUAGUUACUGAAGGUCUCCAAGGACAAAUGGGCCCUCAAGUUUAUCAAGAAAAGGGUGGGGACGCACAUCCGCGCCAAGAGGAAGCGGGAGGAGCUGAGCAACGUAUUGGCCGCUAUGAGGAAAGCUGCUGCCAAGAAAGACUGAGCCCCCUCCCUUGGCUUCUCCCUGAAAUAAAGAACAGCUUGACAGAAA